GACGAACGCUGGCGGCAGGCCUAACACAUGCAAGUCGAGCGAGGACUUCGGUUCUAGCGGCGGACGGGUGAGUAACGCGUGGGAAUGUGCCCUUCUCUACGGAAUAGCCCUGGGAAACUGGGAGUAAUACCGUAUACGCCCUAUUGGGGAAAGAUUUAUCGGAGAAGGAUCAGCCCGCGUUGGAUUAGGUAGUUGGUGGGGUAAUGGCCUACCAAGCCGACGAUCCAUAGCUGGUUUGAGAGGAUGAUCAGCCACACUGGGACUGAGACACGGCCCAGACUCCUACGGGAGGCAGCAGUGGGGAAUCUUAGACAAUGGGGGCAACCCUGAUCGAGCCAUGCCGCGUGAGUGAUGAAGGCCUUAGGGUUGUAAAGCUCUUUCAGCUGGGAAGAUAAUGACGGUACCAGCAGAAGAAGCCCCGGCUAACUCCGUG
Molecule: ribosomal RNA, 433 nt
Filed under: uncultured bacterium
Lineage: Bacteria
Description: partial 16S ribosomal RNA
Rfam family: Bacterial small subunit ribosomal RNA
Source: RNAcentral